AUCGCUUCUUGGCCUUUUGGUUAAGAUCAAGUGUAGUAAAAGAAGAAUAUUCAUUUGUGGUUCAAGAGAAGGCAUUAUAUUUGUAAAGGAAGUUAAGUGAAAUCAUAAUAUAUUUUGGAGAAGAUAGGUGAAACAUCACAGCAUACUAUCUUUCCUUCCUAUCUUUAUCCAAGGUCUUGGUUUUCCUUGGUUAUAUAGUUCAAUU
Molecule: small nuclear RNA, 205 nt
Filed under: Myotis davidii
Lineage: Eukaryota; Metazoa; Chordata; Mammalia; Chiroptera; Vespertilionidae
Description: U2 spliceosomal RNA
Rfam family: U2 spliceosomal RNA
About the family: U2 is a small nuclear RNA (snRNA) component of the spliceosome (involved in pre-mRNA splicing). Complementary binding between U2 snRNA (in an area lying towards the 5' end but 3' to hairpin I) and the branchpoint sequence (BPS) of the intron results the bulging out of an unpaired adenosine, on the BPS, which initiates a nucleophilic attack at the intronic 5' splice site, thus starting the first of two transesterification reactions that mediate splicing.
Source: Rfam by way of RNAcentral